UCCAGUUUAACACUGGCAGUCCCUCUAGAGUGCCCAACUUAAUGAUGGCAACAAGAGGAGUGGGUUGCGCUCGUUACGGGACUUAACCCAACAUCUCACGACACGAGCUGACGACAGCCAUGCAGCACCUGUCUCUCUGUCCCUUGCGGGAAAGCCGACUUUCAUCGGAUGUCAGAGGAUGUCAAGACCAGGAUAAGGUUCUUCGCGUUGCGUCGAAUUGAACCACAUGCUCCACUGCUUGUGCGGGUCCCCGUCAAUUUCUUUGAGUUUUAAUCUUGCGACCGUACUCCCCAGGCGGGAUGCUUAACGCGUUAGCUUCGUUACUGAGACGGUUAACGUACCCAACAACAAGCAUCCAUCGUUUACGGCGUGGACUAC
This 378-nucleotide unclassified non-coding RNA is filed under the name uncultured Pseudobdellovibrionaceae bacterium. RNAcentral's name for it is "uncultured Bdellovibrionaceae bacterium contains 16S-23S intergenic spacer region". The record is from RNAcentral. Lineage: Bacteria; Pseudomonadati; Bdellovibrionota; Bdellovibrionia; Bdellovibrionales; Pseudobdellovibrionaceae.